UAACUCCAAACUUUUUGCUUCGCAAAUUGAUUACAGCUUUACGAGCUCUGAGCUAUAUAAGAGCGAGAGCCAGCCCUGAUACGGUGACGUUUUCCUGGUUAGCGAAAUCUAGGAGAAUCAAUAUUUCCAUUUUCCCCUUCAGUACUUCAAAUUGAACUCUCUUUCACCCCUCCUCUCUCUCUCUCCCUCUCUAUCAUUCUCUCUUAUAGGAGUUGUGGUAGUGCCAUGGAUGACCUUCCUUUACAGAAGGUGGCAAUAUCGGGUCCCACAUUAGCCUCCAUGAUACAGCGCUUCUCCUCCUCUCUCGGCGACGUGGACGGUCUCCUCUUCGGCCACGUCAACCACAUCACUCCCUCCACUCUCUCCGAUGACUCUCCUCAAACUCACUCCGAUUCCGGUUCCCUUCAACUCGUCGCCACUAUCACUUCCUUCCUUUGCCCUAGCUUCCCUCUCUCCUUCUACGACUCACUCGGCCGGGUGGAUUCGUAUUCCCUCCUCCGAUUACUCUCCGCUCAAUCUCACAACCAUUUUAUCGGCUGGGUCUCCGGCCCCCCGAGAACCCCCACUCCCCCUUUAAAAAAAAUUAUUUUUACUUUAUUUUUUUCUUUUUCUAAUAAAUAAUCAGAAAUAUUUUCAUUUUAAUAAAAAAAUUAUUUUUAUUAAACAAUAAAUCUAAUCUAAACAAAUUAAUUUAAUUAUUUAAUUAUUUAAUUAUAUUGUCUUAUUAUUUUUUAAGCACCAGACAGAAACAGAACACACCCUCUAACUAACUUUUUGUCUUCAGGUAACUGUAACUCCAAACUUUUUGCUUCGCAAAUUGAUUACAGCUUUACGAGCUCUGAGCUAUAUAAGAGCGAGAGCCAGCCCUGAUACGGUGACGUUUUCCUGGUUAGCGAAAUCUAGGAGAAUCAAUAUUUCCAUUUUCCCCUUCAGUACUUCAAAUUGAACUCUCUUUCACCCCUCCUCUCUCUCUCUCCCUCUCUAUCAUUCUCUCUUAUAGGAGUUGUGGUAGUGCCAUGGAUGACCUUCCUUUACAGAAGGUGGCAAUAUCGGGUCCCACAUUAGCCUCCAUGAUACAGCGCUUCUCCUCCUCUCUCGGCGACGUGGACGGUCUCCUCUUCGGCCACGUCAACCACAUCACUCCCUCCACUCUCUCCGAUGACUCUCCUC
Molecule: long non-coding RNA, 1170 nt
Filed under: Jatropha curcas
Lineage: Eukaryota; Viridiplantae; Streptophyta; Magnoliopsida; Malpighiales; Euphorbiaceae
Description: long non-coding RNA (JCUR_LNC003185)
Source: RNAcentral